This 582-nucleotide small RNA is filed under the name Pan troglodytes (chimpanzee). Its description in RNAcentral is "retained intron". Lineage: Eukaryota; Metazoa; Chordata; Mammalia; Primates; Hominidae. The record is from RNAcentral.
GUUCGCUGUUGAGAAGCUACCCGCGGGGUUGUAGACUUCGGACCUCAUGGCAGAGAUAAUUCAGGAACGCAUAGAAGAUCGGCUCCCGGAAUUGGAACAGCUGGAGCGCAUUGGACUGUUCAGUCAUGCGGAGAUUAAGGCUAUCAUUAAGAAGGCUUCCGAUCUAGAGUACAAAAUCCAGAGAAGAACCCUUUUCAAGGAAGACUUUAUCAAUUAUGUUCAAUAUGAAAUUAAUCUUUUGGAGCUGAUCCAGAGAAGAAGAACACGCAUUGGAUAUUCAUUUAAGAAGGAUGAGAUUGAGAAUUCUAUUGUACACCGGGUACAAGGUGUUUUCCAACGUGCCUCAGCAAAAUGGAAAGACGAUGUUCAACUUUGGCUCUCCUAUGUGGCUUUUUGUAAGAAGUGGGCUACUAAAACUCAACUUAGCAAGGUAUUCUCUGCCAUGUUGGCGAUUCAUUCCAACAAACCAGGUAUGGUGAAAUCUUUGUCAAUUUUUCUACAUUUUAUUUAGACUCAAGCCAUUUUGGAUUUUAUUUCGAUUGGUGAAUCUAAGAGAAAUUAUUUUGAGGACUUGAGCUUAGG